AAUGAACGUUGGCGGCGUGGAUUAGGCAUGCAAGUCGAGCGACGCACUUGCCUUCGGGCGGGUGACGGAGCGGCGAAAGGGAGAGUAACGCGUAGAUACCUACCCUCAGAUCUGGGAUAGCGGCGGGAAACUGCCGGUAAUACCGGAUAAUGUCCCCGGACCAAAGGUUUCGGCCGUCCGAGGAGGGGUCUGCGUCCUAUUAGCUAGUUGGCGGGUAAUGGCCCACCAAGGCAAAGAUGGGUAGCGGGUGUGAGAGCAUGACCCGCCUCACUGGGACUGAGACACUGCCCAGACACCUACGGGAGGCAG
RNAcentral lists this ribosomal RNA (309 nucleotides) under uncultured Planctomycetota bacterium. RNAcentral's name for it is "bacterial SSU rRNA". It matches the Rfam family "Bacterial small subunit ribosomal RNA", at positions 29 to 351 of the family's 1533-position model. Lineage: Bacteria; Pseudomonadati; Planctomycetota. The record is from RNAcentral.